This 88-nucleotide small nucleolar RNA is filed under the name Echinops telfairi (small Madagascar hedgehog). Its description in RNAcentral is "Small nucleolar RNA U3 (ENSETEG00000026924.1)". It matches the Rfam family "Small nucleolar RNA U3", at positions 1 to 112 of the family's 219-position model. Rfam says of the family: Small nucleolar RNAs (snoRNAs) are involved in the processing and modification of rRNA in the nucleolus. There are two main classes of snoRNAs: the box C/D class, and the box H/ACA class. Lineage: Eukaryota; Metazoa; Chordata; Mammalia; Afrosoricida; Tenrecidae. The record is from RNAcentral.
GUCACCAUACUUUCAGGGAUCAUCUCUAUAGUGCGUGACUAUAAUUUUUUACAGUAGUGCAAAGCCUUGUUUUUCUCCCUCUGAGCGG